Molecule: long non-coding RNA, 979 nt
Filed under: Ananas comosus (pineapple)
Lineage: Eukaryota; Viridiplantae; Streptophyta; Magnoliopsida; Poales; Bromeliaceae
Description: long non-coding RNA (ACOM_LNC042474)
Source: RNAcentral
CCGGUCUUUUUUAGAAGUCAAAUAUUAAGAAUAUUGACAUUUCAAGUGAUUUCAAAAAAAAUACUGGAGUUAAAUUCUAGAAAAAACUUCAAAAACCUUACCUGUGGUUUCGUAGUUUCUCACUUUGCCCCCUUGUGGUUUAAAAUGUAUCAAAUUGCCCCCCUGUGGUUUUAUUUUUAUCUUUUCGGUAGUUUUUUCGUUAAUAUUUCAUUAAAUUAUAUACAAAAAACUUCAGAUACCCAUCUAGAUUUAUCAAAUAUUCACUUUAGUACCCUUUAAUUUUAACUUUAUCACUGAUUUAAGCAAAAAAAAUAAUGAAAUUGAUAAGAAAAAAAAAAAAAAGAAACCACAGGGGGGCAAACUGAUACAUUUUAAACCACAGGGGGGCAAAGUGAGAAACUACGAAAUCACAUGGAGGUUUUUUGAAGUUUUUCCUAAAUUCUAUUAGUAAACUAUUAAAAAUAAUCGUUAUUUUUGUUAAAUUACUAUUUUUCUCUCUUAAAUAUAUUUUUUUUAUCGUCAUCAACACUUUUAAUUUGCCGUUAAGUUAGAGGUAUUUUGACUUCUUUUAAUGAAUUGAGCUUCUAUACUUUUAAAAGUACCAAGUUAUUGGUGCUUAUAGAUUUUUGGCCAUUGGAUUAAGAAAUGUGCGGUUAGGAUAAUGUGGGUCCUCUAGGGUUGAGUGGGUGGUUGGUUGAAUAGUAUAAUCUAACAGUUGAAAAUAAUCAAAAGUGUAGAUCUAACGGUAAAAAACUUACAAGCACCAAGUGCUUGGUGCUUUUACAAGCACCAUAGCCGGACUCUCUUUUAAUUAUGUAGAAACUUAAUCCAGGUUUAAUCCGAGAUUACUUAAUAUUUAUUAACAGCAGAAUUAUUUUUGAAUAAUGGAGAAAUAUAUGAUAGAUGUGUAUGAAACAAAAAAAAAGUAGGGUAUAUAAAAUAUUUCAAAUAUUUUGAGACGUAUAUUAGAUAUUAUUCC